Molecule: long non-coding RNA, 2782 nt
Organism: Drosophila eugracilis
Lineage: Eukaryota; Metazoa; Arthropoda; Insecta; Diptera; Drosophilidae
Exons: 3
Source: RefSeq, a predicted model, not a curated record
GACAGGAGGGGUGGGAAAUUGUAAAAAGCCCGACGGGGAUGAGCUGUAAUUGUCGCGCUUUUCAAAAUGCUCAAUUUGCAAUGCAAAUGUCAAGCAUUAGUUUAGCUCAGCUAACGCCCGUUGUCAACAGAUGGCGCCACCGCGCAAUGAAAAUACUUUUAUGGCCCGCAGUGUAUGUGUACGUACAGGGCGGGACGCGGGGCGAUGUGCGAUGGCAGAUCAAGCUGGCAAUGUUUGGCAACAGCUUAGCGCACAAUCAAUUAAACUGGUUUAUUGACACUUUUCCUCUGACACAGACACACUUACAAACUUGACACUAACACACAGAAGAGGGGAAAUCGUAUAAGAAGAAGAUAAGGGAAAAGGUUGUGACGGGCUUUUGUAUACCCUGCUAUCUGAGGUUAUGAGGUUUGAGUAAGACUUUGCAAAGGGAAAAUUAUUAUUAUUAAUGUGACAGAUCCUGAUACCUCAUACUCAUUGUAUAUACCUCAAAAUACCCUAUAUUCUUUCUAAUUUUUCUCACAUUAAACUCAUGACACCAUUUUCCCCCAUACUUAAACACACCCUCCGCCCUCUGAACACUUAAACAUCUCAUACAAAAAAAAGUAAACUGCGCAAUUAGUUGACUUAACUUCUAUGACAUAGAAGCAGCAGCCACCACCCCCCUGGAAAGGUUCCCACUUCUGUGCUCAAGCAAACGGAAAUUGAGUGUCCUUGCAGAAGGGAUUUAUUUAUGGUUCAUAGAUUAAAUACUAAUUAACACCCAACCACACAAACACAGGCCAGGCCAGUGUGUUGGCAUUUGAUUUAUGUCUGAGGAGGGAGCAUCUCUCUGCUUUUGUGCGUGUGUCCUGUAAGGAUUAGAAUGGAAAAGAAUAACAGGGCAGACCAAAAGGACCCACAAAAAAAAAAAAGAAAACAUUUUCGUAACACACCAAUGGGCCAUUGACCAAGGUCCUCGGCCUCGUCCUCGUCCUCGUCCUCAUCCACGUCCUCGUCUGCGACUAUUAUGCGUAUCUCUCGCUCGCUGCGCUUAAUGCCAUAAAUUCUGCUUAAAUUAUUGGGGUUGCUUAACACGCUCCAUUUUCGUUUUUCCGAUUCGGAUUCGCAUUUACUUUUAUGCUCUUCAUUUGUUUUUUGGUUUCGUUGGGCCCUUCAUGUAGAUGCCACCUUUAAGUCAGCUCUUCGAGACUCAAAUUUCUAUAUAAAGAUAUAGUCAGAAUGUUUUUCAGUGUAGAACUGCGUGUAGUAUGAGUACUACGCCUGGUUAAAUUUAUGUGUCUGCAUGUCGCGGACGCGUAAAAAACCUGCAUAAGAAUCAGAUUCACUGGGCUUUUCAUUGAAUGAGUGGGUGGGUGAGAGAUGCGACGUAUAAUCAAGCCAGACAAUGCACAUAAAGUCUGACCAACUCUUUGGAGGUCUGAGUGCGUUGAUUAACGACUAACUGUCUUGUUAAGCGCUGCCAAAAAGGCAAAACUUAACAUUAUAUUUCAUUUUUCUUUUAUAUUUUCAAAUAUAUUCCAUUUCUUUGAGUGCAUUUUUCAAUACUGCCGCUUGAUCCACACAUCCGAUUAUGGUAUUUAUCGGACUAUGCAAAUGAAAGAGGAAAAUCAUCGCUGAUGGUUUAAGUCUGCCUCAUUUGAAUGCACUAAUUAAAUGUGCUUUAACGGAAAAUCACUUAAAAACCAGCACUGGCAAUCUGAGCUUUAUGAUGACAGGACCGUCAGAAGGGGCAGCAUAAAGAUUGAUAGAUUGAUUUUUAAUACGCUGGUUUUAUGGUUACUCAUUUGUACUAUAUACGAGUAAAUUUCAUAUUUUACAUUUUGCUGAUAAGCAAUCAGCUGACUUGAGGACUUGUGCUUGAAUUAAAUUUAUAAAAAUCUUGAAAGAAUCAGUUGUUGGUGAACUCUCUGCCUGUUAAGAUGAAUUCUGUAGCUUGGCUUGCUUUGUUCGGAUUGGUGAUUUGGAAAGAGGGAUCUGCUCAAUUAUUGGAUUCGAAUUGCGGAGUAGUUAUUAAACAAAAAGGUUCAUUAUAUUCGGUUUCAUCAAGUCCAUGGAUGGCAUUGAUUGAAUCGCCUAAAAAAAACUGCACUGGCACUCUGAUUAAUAGAAAAUAUGUUAUAACAGCAGCUAGUUGCCUACGUAAUCAAAAUCUAAACUUCGUUCAUUUGGGAUUGUUUGACAGAUCAAAGCUGACAUCUUACAGCAAUAAAUAUAAACCACAAAAAUUUGGCAUUGAGACAUGUUAUAUUAAUAAGAAUUUCAACCGAAGCACAUAUAUAAAUGAUAUUGCGCUGGUCAAGUUAUCGAGGACUGUGAUCUAUAAAGAUCACAUACGACCAAUGUGCAUUUCGCUGAACAGUAAUUCGGUUGACUAUGCUAAGAGUUUUAAGACCUUUAUGGCCACUCGCUGGGGUUUGAACGAAAAACGAAUUUUUUCAAGCCCUUUGGCGCAACCCAUUUUCCAUUUUACAUCUAGAGAAUGCCAUCGCACCUUUAAAAUAAUUCCCAAAAAAUCUCAAAUUUGUGCUGGCUUUAAAAAUGAAUUGAAAUGUGCGGAGAGUGGAAGUCCUUUAAGUGCCAAAAUUACAUAUCCAGGCUCAAAGCACACUUCCAGACAAACUUUAUUUGGAAUUCAGAGUUAUGGCGUUUUGGGAACUUGCUUGUACAAUGAUAUUACGAGUAUACGCGAUUGGAUAAUGGGUGUUGCGUUAGAAGUUGAUAUUAUAGUUUAGGAAAUAUUUUUUAAAAAAUAAUAAUAAAAAAAAAUUCAAUAAAAUGA